Molecule: long non-coding RNA, 665 nt
Filed under: Monodelphis domestica (gray short-tailed opossum)
Lineage: Eukaryota; Metazoa; Chordata; Mammalia; Didelphimorphia; Didelphidae
Description: lncRNA (ENSMODG00000028963.2)
Source: RNAcentral
CUUCCUAAUAGCCGGUGGCUCGCAGAGUGAGUGUCAGAACAGGAAGCUGAGGCAGAAGCAGGGACUAUGCUGUAAGGCCCCUUUGUUAUUUUCCCCUUCCAGUGAGCCGAGAAUGAAUGUACGCUUUUAACAUCUCCUCUGCUUAGACAUCUCGACAGCUGCAUUAGCAAGACGAUCACCUUCCUUCUGCCUACCUAUGGACCCUGGCCCUCCUUGUGCUGAGACUUACAAUUCUCUUCCAGAGGCAGUGUAUGGAAUAUGAAGACUAACAAAAGGAUAGAAGACACAAUGUACUUGUACAAGCACUUUCUUAUGCAAGAAGCUAAACGGUAAUUAAAAGGUACAGGAUGAAAAGAUGGCACAAUCAGUGCUGGUACCACCAGGACCUGACAGCUUUCGCUACUUCACCAGGGAAUCCCUUGCUGCUAUUGAGCAACGUAUUGCAGAAGAAAAAGCUACAAAACCCAAACAAGGACGAAAGGAUGAGGAUGAUGAAAAUGGCCCCAAAGCAAAUAGUGAUUUGGAAGCAGGAAAAUCCCUCCCAUUUAUUUAUGGAGACAUUCCACCCGGAAUGGUGUCAGAGCCCUUGGAGGACCUGGAUCCAUACUAUAUCAAUAAAAAAACUUUUAUAGUAUUGAAUAAAGGGAAGGCAAUCUUCCGAUUCA